This 513-nucleotide ribosomal RNA is filed under the name uncultured bacterium. RNAcentral's name for it is "bacterial SSU rRNA". It matches the Rfam family "Bacterial small subunit ribosomal RNA", at positions 8 to 518 of the family's 1533-position model. The record is from RNAcentral.
AGGGUUCGAUUCUGGCUCAGGAUGAACGCUAGCUACAGGCUUAACACAUGCAAGUCGAGGGGUAGCAGGGUAGCAAUACCGCUGACGACCGGCGCACGGGUGAGUAACACGUAUCCAACCUUCCCAUAACUCAGGGAUAGCCUUUCGAAAGAAAGAUUAAUACCUGAUAGUACUUUUUCAAGGCAUCUUGAGAAAGUUAAAGAUUUAUUGGUUAUGGAUGGGGAUGCGUUCCAUUAGAUAGUUGGUGAGGUAACGGCUCACCAAGUCUUCGAUGGAUAGGGGUUCUGAGAGGAAGGUCCCCCACAUUGGUACUGAGACACGGACCAAACUCCUACGGGAGGCAGCAGUGAGGAAUAUUGGUCAAUGGGCGAGAGCCUGAACCAGCCAAGUAGCGUGAAGGAUGAAGGUCCUAUGGAUUGUAAACUUCUUUUAUAGUAGAAUAAAGUGAUCCACGUGUGGAUUUUUGUAUGUAUACUAUGAAUAAGGAUCGGCUAACUCCGUGCCAGCCGCUGC